This 1296-nucleotide long non-coding RNA is filed under the name Medicago truncatula (barrel medic). RNAcentral's name for it is "lncRNA gene34204". The record is from RNAcentral. Lineage: Eukaryota; Viridiplantae; Streptophyta; Magnoliopsida; Fabales; Fabaceae.
ACAAUGCUAAAAUGAAUUUUCAAAUUUAUAAUUUUCCACAUUUCUGACUUAAAUAAAUUACAAUUAAUAUUUACAACACAAUUACUACAACAAAUGAGACUAUUUAAAUCACUUGUUCCCUUCAUAGGGUCUAAUUCCAUUAUCUUCAUACCAUGGUAAAAACUGCAACAGAAAAUAGAUAAAUUCAACUGCAUAAAUAAUAGAAAUUUACUAUCCUUGCAAUGUAAAUUCAGCUACACAAUGGACCAAAACGAUGAAUUCGACAAGAGUAAUACAACCCAAGUACCCUCAAGGAUCUUUAUCCCUCUCUCAAUAUAAAUUUAAAUGAGUCUCAAUCCCUCUUCUCCUAACUUGCUAUCAUUAACAAUAAAAUAAAUUAAAAGUCGGAUAAAAGGAAAAUGUAUGUCUCAUGGCCGACCCAAAUGGUAAAAGCAGCAACGCCGCUAUCCAAGGCAAUGGAAUAUGAGACAACUCCAGCGGAGAUGCCACCAGUUAAGGUGGCACCAUCAACACCAGAACCAUUAAUAUAUGACGGUUACUUGAGAAAUAUACAAACACUUUUCAAUUUGCUCCCAAAUAAGUACUGAGAUUUAUCGGAAAUCUCCCGUCAAUACAACAUACAUAAAAUAAACUAUUAAACAUUACAGUGACCAAAACUCCAAAAUGAAGCCCAGACGAACAAAACACGAGAAAUUAUUAAUGUAUGCGAGUCAAAUGUUUAAACGCACACAUCAAUUAUUUCACUUGAUCUUACGCCUAAGCUUCGUUUUAAAGUUUAUUAAAAAAUCCAGCUCAGAAAUUAAGAAUUGUCAUUCUCAUUGAUUAUAAAAAUCUCUGAAGUCUGACAUGUGAAAUUUUUCUUAAUUCAUCACAGCAAUACAAACUCAUAAUUAAAAAUCAAAUGAAAUGUUUAAGCUCUCAAUAGUAAUAAAAUAUCUGCUCAUAAUUUGAAUCAGAAUAGCGUAUACUGCAACAAAGGCAGAAUAUCACAGAGCCAAUUAUACAUAUAAUUUCAGAAACACAUAAUCUCAAACAUAAACAAAAAAAUAUGAAAAAUUGUUUGAAACAGAGAUCAGAAAUUGGAAAAGGUUGUCGGUCACAGUAAAUCAGAAACACGGACCAAUGUAAACAUCAUCAUAUCUCUUUAUUUUCAAAUUAAACGAAAAAUCUAUGAAAAAAGAAAAAUAAAUCAUGAACCAUAUCGAAAGAAAAAUAGUGAAUGAUCAUCAGAGACUUAAAUACUAAGAAUCAUGGAACGAAUCCAUCAUAUUGUUGCAGUUUUUUCUCAUCACAUGA